ACGCUCGACACCUACGGGAGGCAGCAGUCGGGAAUAUUGCGCAAUGGAGGAAACUCUGACGCAGUGACGCCGCGUAUAGGAAGAAGGUUUUCGGAUUGUAAACUAUUGUCGUUAGGGAAGAGAAAGGACAGUACCUAAGGAGGAAGCUCCGGCUAACUACGUGCAAGCAGCCGCGGUAAUCUGGAGCGGGCUGGCAAGGC
This 200-nucleotide ribosomal RNA is filed under the name uncultured bacterium. RNAcentral describes it as "partial 16S ribosomal RNA". It matches the Rfam family "Bacterial small subunit ribosomal RNA", at positions 328 to 539 of the family's 1533-position model. The record is from RNAcentral.